Molecule: long non-coding RNA, 784 nt
Filed under: Olea europaea (common olive)
Lineage: Eukaryota; Viridiplantae; Streptophyta; Magnoliopsida; Lamiales; Oleaceae
Description: long non-coding RNA (OEUR_LNC015450)
Source: RNAcentral
AGAACUUUAGUAAGAGACAAUAAAUCACACUUCUCACAUUUUGAAAGAUAAACAUUGUUAACAUUCAACUGCCUCCCCUUUGGGAAAAAAAAGAGCAGGUGCCUUGAAUAAUAGAGAAAUUUUAGCCAGUGACAUCCCAAUAAUCAAGAAAGUCAUUUUUUUGAAUUGCAAAUACAAUAAACUUCCUUGAUCCUAUCCUUUCUGCACACGCUUCAGAGUUUUCAUGGCUAUCCCACUACCGUCAUCUCUGGUGGACAACGUAUCAAAGCACAUAAAAAAAUGAUGAGGAAAAUGGAUCAUGUAACAAUUAAAGAAGGAUUAUAGAACAAUCUCAAUUUACGAGCCUACUAUAAUUCUUAUAUAGUAUAAUAAGCCAGCAAUUAUUAAAUUUUCAAGAACAUGCUGACAUAGUUAAUGCCGUCUGGAGGUGUACUAAAAGGAUUUACAAGAGAAGACAAAAAUUAUAGCCUUCACUGAGAAACAAUGAAAUGUCAUCUAAUGACAUGUAAUGUUGGGAAUUUAUUUAAUUAUGCACAGCGGAAAAUAAAAUAAAUUUCAAUUCCCACUGAAGAUCUACUUUGUAAUUAGAUAAAAACUGUGAUAGAAAUUGUACCUCUUGCGAAAUCUACAAAGUCCUUUGCUUUUCUUUUGUUCCAGUAAUCUUGAUUUGUCGCCCACAUUUGUCCAGCUAUCCAAUUGUCCAACUUUCAAUGGAAUUCCACACGAGGAACAAGAUUGUAUGAGAACUAGGGUUUUCUGCUCUUGUACUGGCACGAAAAUUAGA